ACACAUGCAAGUCGAACGAUGAUGCCCAGCUUGCUGGGCGGAUUAGUGGCGAACGGGUGAGUAAUACGUGAGUAACCUGCCCUUGACUCUGGGAUAAGCCUGGGAAACUGGGUCUAAUACUGGAUACUACUUCUCAUCGCAUGGUGGGUGGUGGAAAGGGUUUUACUGGUUUUGGAUGGGCUCACGGCCUAUCAGCUUGUUGGUGGGGUAAUGGCUCACCAAGGCGACGACGGGUAGCCGGCCUGAGAGGGUGACCGGCCACACUGGGACUGAGACACGGCCCAGACUCCUACGGGAGGCAGCAGUGGGGAAUAUUGCACAAUGGGCGGAAGCCUGAUGCAGCGACGCCGCGUGAGGGAUGACGGCCUUCGGGUUGUAAACCUCUUUCAGUAGGGAAGAAGCGAGAGUGACGGUACCUGCAGAAGAAGCGCCGGCUAACUACGUGCCAGCAGCCGCGGUAAUACGUAGGGCGCAAGCGUUGUCCGGAAUUAUUGGGCGUAAAGAGCUCGUAGGCGGUUUGUCGCGUCUGCUGUGAAAGCCCGGGGCUCAACCCCGGGUCUGCAGUGGGUACGGGCAGACUAGAGUGCAGUAGGGGAGACUGGAAUUCCUGGUGUAGCGGUGAAAUGCGCAGAUAUCAGGAGGAACACCGAUGGCGAAGGCAGGUCUCUGGGCUGUUACUGACGCUGA
RNAcentral lists this ribosomal RNA (687 nucleotides) under unidentified microorganism. RNAcentral's name for it is "bacterial SSU rRNA". It matches the Rfam family "Bacterial small subunit ribosomal RNA", at positions 51 to 749 of the family's 1533-position model. The record is from RNAcentral.